RNAcentral lists this transfer RNA (73 nucleotides) under Anaerolineaceae bacterium. Its description in RNAcentral is "tRNA-Thr". It matches the Rfam family "tRNA". From Rfam's summary of the family: Transfer RNA (tRNA) molecules are approximately 80 nucleotides in length. Their secondary structure includes four short double-helical elements and three loops (D, anti-codon, and T loops). Further hydrogen bonds mediate the characteristic L-shaped molecular structure. tRNAs have two regions of fundamental functional importance: the anti-codon, which is responsible for specific mRNA codon recognition, and the 3' end, to which the tRNAs corresponding amino acid is attached (by aminoacyl-tRNA synthetases). tRNAs cope with the degeneracy of the genetic code in two manners: having more than one tRNA (with a specific anti-codon) for a particular amino acid; and 'wobble' base-pairing, i.e. permitting non-standard base-pairing at the 3rd anti-codon position. The record is from RNAcentral. Lineage: Bacteria; Bacillati; Chloroflexota; Anaerolineae; Anaerolineales; Anaerolineaceae. RNAcentral also lists the same sequence under 1 other name.
GCCCACAUAGCUCAGUCGGUAGAGCGCGUUCUUGGUAAGAACGAGGUCAUGGGUUCGAAUCCCAUUGUGGGCU